RNAcentral lists this long non-coding RNA (753 nucleotides) under Homo sapiens (human). RNAcentral describes it as "HSALNT0368162". The record is from RNAcentral. Lineage: Eukaryota; Metazoa; Chordata; Mammalia; Primates; Hominidae.
CCGCCGGCCUUUACCGCGCUCCGUGCGCGGCCUUCCCCUUUUCUUCUCUUCGGGCUUUUGGUCCAGCUCCUCCUUUUCCUCCUGCGACCGGAGCAUCCUGACCCGCCUCACCCCCGGCUGGGUCGGAGUGAUGCUCGUCCCGCAGGCACUGUCUUCAUAGUCCACAGGUCUCAAACUCCAGCAUCUCAGAAUGAAAGGAUUCACAAGUGCUCACAAGAGGCUUGGCUGCCAGGGGAAGCUCCGACCUGAAGAUUUGAACUAAUGAGGGACUAUAAAGGCCAAGACCUUGUUCUUGCCAUUUUAGAGAUUCAGAAUAUAAUCUACAAAGUUAGAGAUUAUAAUUGGCCUCCACUGUGUGAUUUGAUUCCAAGCUACCCAUGAAGAAACCCAGACUCAGAGGUCACUUGCCUAGGGUCACACAGUGACCUGAGAUGGGAACCACAGGUCGCCACAUAGACUUGGUCAUCAGGAGUGGGCCUGGUGAGGCCAAAGAAGGAGAUUUCAUCUGUCAAGGUUACUCACACAGGGCAGCUGAUUCUGUUUCCUAGGGCCUGUGUCUUAGGCUCUUCCAUCUCUCUAACCACUAGAGUCCCUCUGUCCUCAAGUCAUCACAGUAAACUCCCAUUAUGUCUCGGAAUUCUCUUUGCCCAAGCACUCAGGCCCUGCCCUGGCAGCUCCAGAGGAAUGCCCGGGACCUUUGUGAGCUGAGUGAUGGGUCUCCCCAUUUGUGGCAGGGGGAAUUUGAAUGUCUUA